CGCGUAGGUGGCUUGUCAGGUCCGAUGUGAAAACCUGGGGCUCAACCCCAGGCCUGCAUCGGAAACCGGCUUGCUAGAGUCUGGGAGAGGAGAGUGGAAUUCCUGGUGUAGCGGUGAAAUGCGUAGAUAUCAGGAGGAACACCGGUAGCGAAGGCGGCUCUCUGGAACAGUACUGACGCUGAGGCGCGAAAGCUAGGGGAGCGAACAG
RNAcentral lists this ribosomal RNA (208 nucleotides) under uncultured bacterium. RNAcentral's name for it is "partial 16S ribosomal RNA". It matches the Rfam family "Bacterial small subunit ribosomal RNA", at positions 568 to 775 of the family's 1533-position model. The record is from RNAcentral.